AAAGGAAUUGACGGGGGCCCGCACAAGCGGUGGAGUAUGUGGUUUAAUUCGACGCAACGCGAAGAACCUUACCAAGACUUGACAUCGUCUGAUGACUCUAGAGAUAGAGAGUUCUCCUUCGGGAGACAGAUAGACAGGUGGUGCAUGGUUGUCGUCAGCUCGUGUCGUGAGAUGUUGGGUUAAGUCCCGCAACGAGCGCAACCCCUAUUCUUUGUUGCCAGCACGUAAUGGUGGGAACUCAAAGGAGACUGCCGCAGACAAUGCGGAGGAAGGCGGGGAUGACGUCAAAUCAUCAUGCCCCUUAUGUCUUGGGCUACACACGUACUACAAUGGACUUAAACAGAGGGCUGCGAAGUCGCGAGGCGGAGCAAAUCCCAUAAAUAAGUUCUCAGUUCGGAUCGCAGGCUGCAACUCGCCUGCGUGAAGUCGGAAUCGCUAGUAAUCGCAGGUCAGCAUACUGCGGUGAAUACGUUCCCGGGCCUUGUACACACCGCCCGU
This 498-nucleotide ribosomal RNA is filed under the name uncultured bacterium. Its description in RNAcentral is "bacterial SSU rRNA". It matches the Rfam family "Bacterial small subunit ribosomal RNA", at positions 903 to 1397 of the family's 1533-position model. The record is from RNAcentral.